Molecule: transfer RNA, 74 nt
Filed under: Kappaphycus alvarezii
Lineage: Eukaryota; Rhodophyta; Florideophyceae; Gigartinales; Solieriaceae
Also listed under: 1 other name
Description: tRNA-Met
Rfam family: tRNA
About the family: Transfer RNA (tRNA) molecules are approximately 80 nucleotides in length. Their secondary structure includes four short double-helical elements and three loops (D, anti-codon, and T loops). Further hydrogen bonds mediate the characteristic L-shaped molecular structure. tRNAs have two regions of fundamental functional importance: the anti-codon, which is responsible for specific mRNA codon recognition, and the 3' end, to which the tRNAs corresponding amino acid is attached (by aminoacyl-tRNA synthetases). tRNAs cope with the degeneracy of the genetic code in two manners: having more than one tRNA (with a specific anti-codon) for a particular amino acid; and 'wobble' base-pairing, i.e. permitting non-standard base-pairing at the 3rd anti-codon position.
Source: RNAcentral
AACGAUAUAGUUCAAUUGGUUAGAACGUUGGAAUCAUAAUCCAAAAGUCAUAGGUUCAAAUCCUAUUAUCGUUA